RNAcentral lists this ribosomal RNA (440 nucleotides) under uncultured bacterium. RNAcentral describes it as "partial 16S ribosomal RNA". It matches the Rfam family "Bacterial small subunit ribosomal RNA", at positions 338 to 795 of the family's 1533-position model. The record is from RNAcentral.
CCUACGGGGGGCAGCAGUGGGGAAUAUUGCACAAUGGGGGAAACCCUGAUGCAGCGACGCCGCGUGAAGGAAGAAGUAUUUCGGGAUGUAAACUUCUAUCAGCAGGGAAGAAAAUGACGGUACCUGACUAAGAAGCCGCGGCUAACUACGUGCCAGCCUCCGCGGUAAUACGUAGGGGGCAAGCGUUAUCCGGAGUUACGGGGUGUAAAGGGAGCGUAGGCGGUUUAGCAAGUCAGAAGUGAAAGCACGGGGCUCAACUCCGGGACUGCUUUUGAAACUGUUGAACUAGAUUGCAGGAGAGGUAAGUGGAAUUCCUCGUGUAGCGGUGAAAUGCGUCGAUAUUAGGCGGAACACCAGUGGCGAAGGCGGCUUACUGGACUGUAACUGACGCUGAGGCUCGAAAGCGUGGGGAGCAAACAGGAUUAGAUACCCGGGUAGUC